AUAUAUAUAUAUGUGUAUGUAUAUAUAUAUGUAUAUCACACGGACGACUCAUUGCAAUGUGAACAUUAAUUUAGUCUUGUUUGGAAUGUUAGUGUCCAACAAAUUAUGCGAUUAAAUUAUUUUAAUAUUAUAUACAACUCUAAAUUUUCUUUUCCGUCCACCAUCCAUUCCAUUUGCUUAUAUAUCUUUAUGAUUAAUAAAGAUAGCAUUUAUUUAUGUACGAUUAUAUGAAGAACGAUUAGUGAAAGAGGCUGGACAUAAUAGAUAUUAUAUAUAACAUCAUUUUAUUAAUUUUAAAUUAAAAUCGGUUAUAAAUUAUGGUGAUGAGUUCGAAUACUAGGACUAGGACAAAUGGUUCUCGCAGCUUUGUUCUGUAUAUAUAUAUAUACUCAUUUUUAUAUUGCAUAUAUGUAGUUGUUGAAGGAUGAGCGUUUAUCGUCUUAGAUAUCACACAAACAUGCACUCGCUCUCUCAAUACGUACUCACUUUCUCUCUCUCUCUCUCUCUCUCUCUCUCUCUCUCUCUCUCUCUCUCUCUCUCUCUCUUUCUUUCAAUUCAAUGAAAUAACAAAAAAAUGCUUUCACCAAUAAGCGUCUAUUAUAGAGGGUGACUCAUAUCGUCUACGAUUCAUAGAUAUAUUCAAUUUCUCCCUUUCUUGAAACCUUUUUUAAAGGCCGGAAAACGAAUCGAAUCGAUCGUACUUCUCUAUCGAACGUGACACGCAAUAUGUCUCAAGUUUUUCGACCACGACGACAAAGCGCGUUGAAAAGAAAAUUUCCUUUUUUUUUUUUUCAUCUUUUUUCUUUUUUCUUUUUUUUUUUUUCUUUUUUUUUUCAAAGACGGCUCCAGUGCGUAAAGACGAUGUAACGUGCGUUACUUUAUUCGCGAAUUACAACAUCCGAGACGCGACGAAGCAUAGGUAAUAAUGGAAAGGAAUAGCAAAUCUUACGUCGUCGCAUUUUCAAAGUUGCCAGCAACUUUUCUUUUCGAAAAAAAACUCGACACUGGAGCUGCAUCUUUCCGAAAAAUCUAUCUUUUUUCUCUCUCUCUCUCUCUCUCUCUCUCUCUCUGUGAGUUUUUCUACGUCUCCGACUCGAGCGCGUCUCGCUCGAAUUCCAUUUCAGAUGAAUCAUAAAUUCGAAAAGAGAUUUGUCUCUUUUUCUUCGCCUAUUGGAACUCGCCGAGACUCGUGCGGCUUUAUAAAAACGUUAUCAAGAUAAUGGCAGUGCGGUAUAGCGGAGAAGAUCUCUCAGAGAUCGAUCGAUCGCACGACGGUGCCUCCUCUCAGCGAGAUCAAAGAGAUCGAUCUGGAUCAGGCUUGAGGUAUCGGCAUACACAACUAGCAUUUCUCUUUUCUCCCUGUUAUUUCAUUUCGUUAGUUCAAUGUAAUUCUUUAGAUAUAUUAUCUUUUAUCAUCGAUCAUAUUUUUAUUAUAUGGAUAAUGUAUUUAUUUAGAUGCCCGUUCCAUCACGACUCAAUACGAUUUAUAUUCGCAAAGAUCGCCUUUAGCACUGUCGUGUCCUUUCUUCUAAUCCUUUUUUCUCUAUUUCCUCUCUCUUAUUCCUUGGCAAUCUUUAUAUUCGUGAACAUGGAGAUUCCGGUAAAACGGCUUUAACGCAGAAGCUGUUGCUAUUAUAAAUAUGUCUUUAUAUGUACACGUACACACAUACGCACGUACUAUUGGCGAUUAGGCGAGAUUAGUUUGUCUCCUUCAUUCUUUUCUGUCUUUGGACGAUGCCAAAUAAUCGCUCGAAUCGAAGCAAUUCGUAAAGAUCAAACAAUUUGUUAAUAUAUAUAUCAACAAUUAUUAUCAAGAAACGAUCUUUUUAUGAUUAAUUUUAAAACGAUCUAUCACGAAACAAUGCUUCGAACGAAUAUGGAUGUAUAGCCGCGGUCGUAGAUCUAUAGAGAUAUAUAUGUAUAUAUAUAUGCAUAUAUAAUAUAUAUCACAUUGCCAUUAACAAAUUACACAGCACAGCCAGUGACUCCAAUUUUAUUAUAUAUACAUUCUCCGCUCUGGUUUCUUUUAUUUUAGCUUCAACGCAUCGCCGAUACGUCGUCAUCAUCAUCAUCCUCCUCCCACCCUUUUCCAUCUUUCUUUAUUUAUUUAUUUAUUUAUUUUUUUUUUCUUCAAGCUUUAACACCUUCGAGGAAGAAUUACGUUAUAUAUAUAUAUAUAUCUUUUUCUUCGAUCAACAGGUUUCCGUUCUUAACGAUAACACGUCGAUUCGUUUAUCAGUACCUUCGUCGAACGAGGAUCGGUCUUUAUCGAUACGAUCCUCGAUCGAUCGAACGGAGCAAAUUUCUAAUAAUAAUUAUUACAUUCCCGCAAUUUUUUUCUAUCAAAGCAUUUCGGAUCUUACGGUUGGUUUAUAAAACCGACUAACCACUAUAUUUCUUUUCUCAUCUCCGUUCGAAUGUUGUCGUUACGCGGACGCGUGAUCGCACACAUACAUGUACACAAGUUUAUGGGAGCAAAGGGAGUGAGGUAGGAGCGAGAAAGAUAGAGUUUGAAAAUUUAUCGGAAGGAUUUUUCCAUUACAAUAAUUUCUUUAUCAUCAUUUAUGAUCCAGGGUGGGGCAAAAAUUUCAUAUGCGAUAAAAUUAUAUGCGCCACUCUGUGUCAGAGGACAAUUGGGGAUAAAAAUGGGAAGGAAUGGAGCUCGAAUAGAUUCAAACGAGGAAAAGGAAAUGCGUGAGAUUAUUCUUUCGAAGGAUAACAAAAUUGGAAUUAUCAUCGAUUACCCUUUCUUUUGCCUAUCGAGACAAAGAAAAGUAAUCGGAAUGAAACAUAGCAGUACUGCGAAACCGUAUAUCCACUACUUGGAUAACAGGAAUAAUACUAUCAGUUAAUUAUAAUAUCAAUUAUAAUAACAGGGUCCGCCUUUGUUAGUGCUCUAAAGGUAUCAUUAUGUACAAAUAGAUGCGUGUAUGUAUAAUGUAUAUACAAAAUUACGUGCGAUGGGGUAUCGACGGAGUGGUGGUGGUGAUGGUGAUGGUAGUGGUGGUGGUAGUGGUGGUGGUGGUGGUGGUGGUUGUGAUGCUGCUGGUGCUGAUGCUGCUGCUGUUGUACCAUUAUGGGUAGAUAUCCGAUUCGAGUUUUUUGUUCCUCUUUCUUUUCAGGAUCGUGGACAAGAUUAUGAAAUUCAUUAUAUACGCAUUAUAGCGUAUAUAGGAUCAUACUAUGUGUAUAUGUAUGCAUGUUAAUGAUAUCGUAUUCGGUGCGCAAUAAUGUCGUACAUAUGUAUAUCGAUUUGUUGAUAACGAGAAUGUAUUACGUACGAAUAAAGAAUGCUUCUUUUUUUCUUUUUUUUUUUUUUUUUAUGUACUUGUACACGUA
Long non-coding RNA from Vespa velutina, 3339 nucleotides. RefSeq lists it as uncharacterized. Lineage: Eukaryota; Metazoa; Arthropoda; Insecta; Hymenoptera; Vespidae. The transcript is spliced from 2 exons. The record is from RefSeq and is a predicted model, not a curated record.